AUGCAGGGCCCGCGACGGCGGCCCGAUGGCGAGGCGGCUCCGGCAUACAAGAAAGAAAGUGGAUUUUUCACUAUUGAGGUGAUCCAUGGAGGUUUUUUCUUUGGGAGUGGGCGGAAUAGGUGCUAUCUGAAUGGCAAUAAGGUUUGCUUUGAUUACUGUCAUAAGGACAGUGCCUAUUUCAGAAUGUUUGAAGAAAUAGUUGAGGAAUUGGGUUAUGAAAUCUCAGGUAGAAUUGACAUCUAUUGGUUGCCCCCUGGUUGUCAGCUUAAUGAAGGUGGUGCUAGGCUUUUGGCUGAUGAUACUGAUGUGGAUUGUAUGUAUCAAAAGAUAAAUCUAGGGCACCACUUUCAAAUGAUAUACCUGGAUCAUUUAGAUAGCCACAUUUCUGGAGGAGGAGCAGAAUGGGAUGAUGUUGUGUCUAAUCCAGUAGCACAAAUCCCUCCUGUUUUCAGCCCAAGGAAGAAGGAAAUGAAUGCAAGUGAGAACAAAGAUCCCUGUAAGAGCAAUGUUUCUUGUGGUGUUGUGGAUGAAAGUGUUGAAAUUGAGAGCACUCAGCAGUUCUUUGUGAAGUUGAGACCAAGGGGAAAGAAAACAGAAGAGGAGGAAGAACAAUAUGAAGACUCAGAUUCCUCAGACAGUGAUUAUGUACCUGAGAUUGUGGAUAGUGACUAUGACUUGGAGGAUGGAGAUGAUGAUCUGUUGCAGGAGCAGUUGCAACCAAUGCAUGGCAAGAAAGGGAAGAAGGUGGUUGAGGAUUGCAACUCAGAAGAUGAGGAAUUAAAUGCUCCAGAUUCAGAUGAGGAUGACAUGAUCAAUUUCAAGUCUUUCACAGCAGCAGACAUGCAUGAACCUAAGUUCCAUGCAGGGCAAUUGUUCUCUUUUGUGGAGCUCUUGAGGAAAGCUGUGAGAGAGUAUAGUUGCAAAGAGAAGAAUGGCAAAAUCAGGCUUGCUGCAAAGUGUGAAAAGGGUUGCCCCUGGUAUCUGUAUGCAUCUUGGGAUAAUAGAACAAAUUCUGUAAUGGUGAAAACAUUUAAUGGGGAACAUACUUGUGAGAAAAAGUGGCAAGUUACAGCCUUUACAGCUAGGUACAUUGCUCACAAAUACGUGGACAAAAUCAGGGCAUGUGAGAAAUUGUCAUUGAAGGCUUUUGCAGCUUUUGUGCAAGAUGUUUGGAACAUGACAAUUAAAAGGGGCAAGCUGGGGAGAGCUAGGAAGAUUGCAUAUGAUAUCAUAUGUGGAGAUGAGAUAACACAAUACAACUUGCUGUGGGACUAUGCAAAUGAGCUGAGGAGAUCAAACCCUGGAAGUACUUUCCUUCUUGGACUGUCAGAAGAGGGACAAUUUCAGAAGUGCUACUUUUCUUUUGAUGCAUGCAAGAGGGGGUUCUUAUCUGCUUGUAGGCCAAUCAUUUUCCUUGAUGGUUGCCACUUAAAGACCCAUGGUGCAGAGUGA
This 1452-nucleotide ribosomal RNA is filed under the name Triticum aestivum (bread wheat). Its description in RNAcentral is "partial small subunit ribosomal RNA". The record is from RNAcentral. Lineage: Eukaryota; Viridiplantae; Streptophyta; Magnoliopsida; Poales; Poaceae.